UACGUAGGGACCAAGCGUUGUUCGGAUUUACUGGGCGUAAAGGGUGCGUAGGCGGCUUUUUAAGUUUGGUGUGAAAUCUCCCGGCUCAACUGGGAGGGUGCGCCGAAUACUGAGAAGCUAGAGUGUGGGAGAGGAAAGUGGAAUUCCUGGUGUAGCGGUGAAAUGCGUAGAUAUCUGGAGGAACACCGGUGGCGAAGGCG
RNAcentral lists this ribosomal RNA (200 nucleotides) under uncultured bacterium. Its description in RNAcentral is "partial 16S ribosomal RNA". It matches the Rfam family "Bacterial small subunit ribosomal RNA", at positions 524 to 723 of the family's 1533-position model. The record is from RNAcentral.